UCUACUCUGACUUAGGGCACAUCGCUUUC
This 29-nucleotide non-coding RNA is filed under the name Homo sapiens (human). Lineage: Eukaryota; Metazoa; Chordata; Mammalia; Primates; Hominidae. The record is from RNAcentral.